CUCGUAUUGUAAGUUCUAAGCAUCUUGAAAAAAUAAUAAUUCUGGUGUGAAGACCUCAGUCAUGUUUACAAAUACACAAACACAGCCCAGCCUUUGGCUUGCUCCCAAAGCAGCACGUCCCCACAACUGGCUUGUGUUCAAGACUUGGCGUUGCCUCCCCAGAGUCAUUGUAAGUCAAAGCAGAAGCCCAGAAUAUGACAUAACACAGUUUUUUUGCGCAAUAUUUUCAUGCACUUUGAGGUACAGCAGAGCAAGGCUGGUAGUGUUGUCCCCAUUACUUCAGUUACAAAAAUAUUAUGCUCUGCCCUGCAUUGAACCUUGAAUAGUUUGUUUAAGAGAUGAGCACUAACGUUUGCCUUCCCACCACCACCAAAUGAUUGGCUGAAGUGCCUGGAUGGCUUUUAUGCCCAAUUCAUUAUGGAGAGUGGGAGAGAGAGACCCUUACUGGUACUGGCCUGCGUGUAGAUGCUUCUCCAGGUCCAUAUAAGCUUACUGUUUAGUCAUUCUUUAUGUGAUGAAGAUAUGUAUUCCACCACUGGCUUAAUGAGAGUUUGGAGUGUGUGUGUGCGCGUUGUGAAUUUGGGGGGGGGGUGCCCCUAACAACACAGCUUAGUAGUUUUGUAGUCACUGGCAGUUAGGCCCAGGCAGGCGUCAGAAGAAGCCAAGCUAUGGUUCGGCCUUCUUCAGCUGCCUGGCUGAUGCGUUAUUACAGAAUCCAGCUGACUACUGCAUUUCCUACAUUGCAUUACCAGCUUUUGACAUGGAUGUUAGCUGCAGCUAGGAUUUCAGUAGCCAAGCAAUGGAAAACCUUGGGGGGAAAUCUACAUUUGUUUUUGUGGUGUAAGAACUUGUGGACUUCAACUAUUGCAGAGGGAAAAAAUGCACAUGAACUGCAUUAGGAUCCAGAAUGCUUUUAUGUUAUCUGAUGGGAUUUUAUUUCCCAUACUUCAGGCUUAAAUGCUCAGCAGUCACCAUCCACACAUGAACUCCAGGGCGGUGUACAUUAGAAUAAAAUAUAUUUGCAAUAUUAAAACAUAGGAUUGAAAAUACUUUAUCAAAGUAAUUACUUUUGAAAAAAACAAUAAACCAAAAACCAGCUAAAAUAACACAAUAGAUUUAAAAUCAGUUUAAUGGGCUCUUAAAAGGUUCCUCUGCAAGAAUAUUUCAGUUCUCUCAUCUGUCAUAAAACUGGGACUAUAGAUAAAUAGAAUUGCUAUUUUUGAGUGUGGACUGUGCCUCUUCAGCAAUGGCUUCCGUUUCCCAGAGCUCCCAUGCAGACUGCUGGUGUACCAGGUAGAGUCUGUGUUCAGUUGUUUGUGGAUUAUGGGUAUUGAUUUCACUAGCCUAAUUUCAUGAGUGUACUGAGAAAGCUCCAGUUAGACAUGACCUAAAGGACACUUGGACCUCUCACAAUUAUGCAAUCACUUGUGUUGUUAACAGUGCCUUUGCUCUUGCUUAACCAUUAUAGUGUUUUCUAACAGUUCCCCACUGGAAGAAGCUCAACAGAAGCUUUUGGCAUUACUCCCUCUCCAUGCUGAGCAAAGAUAUGGCCUGCUGAACGUCUGGCUGAUAUGUGACCCUUGAAAACACAGGAAAGUUGAGUGGGGUGACAGCCUCAGUGUUCGCUGAUCACCAAAGUCAGCUUUUAAAGAGCAAGAAGACUCCAAGCAAUUUCUUAUCUACUCGUUCAAAUCAGUGCAAAUAUUUCCUGUACAAAUACAUUGCAUUUAUGCAGGAAGUAGCCACAGAAAACCAAGGGCAUGUCAGAAACACCAAGCAGAAAGAAGCAGCUGCAGGAGGGGAAGAACUAGGGAGAAUUCAGAGCAAUUCCUUCUGCGAGACUAGAAGAUCUAUAGAGUCACAGAGCUGGAAGGGACCACGAGGGUCGUCUAGUCCAACCCCUGAAAUGCAGGAAUCUUUUGCAAAAUUAUUUCUGGUGUGGAAAUGGGAAAGUGCCAAUACAG
Non-coding RNA from Podarcis lilfordi (Lilford's wall lizard), 1964 nucleotides. Lineage: Eukaryota; Metazoa; Chordata; Lepidosauria; Squamata; Lacertidae. The record is from the annotation of a GenBank genome assembly.